UACGUAGGGUGCGAGCGUUGUCCGGAAUUAUUGGGCGUAAAGGGCUCGUAGGCGGUCUGUUGCGUCGGGAGUGAAAACUCAGGGCUUAACCCUGAGCCUGCUUCCGAUACGGGCAGACUAGAGGUAUGCAGGGGAGAACGGAAUUCCUGGUGUAGCGGUGAAAUGCGCAGAUAUCAGGAGGACACCGGUGGCGAAGGCGGAUUCUCUGGGCAUUACCUGACGCUGAGGAGCGAAAGUGUGGGAGCGAACAGG
RNAcentral lists this ribosomal RNA (252 nucleotides) under uncultured bacterium. RNAcentral's name for it is "partial 16S ribosomal RNA". It matches the Rfam family "Bacterial small subunit ribosomal RNA", at positions 524 to 776 of the family's 1533-position model. The record is from RNAcentral.